GGGAAGGAGCACAGCAGACACAGGUGACUCUUGUAAAGGAGAGAUGGGGCUAAUCAAGGAAGGCUGGACCCCAAUCAAGGCUGUUGAGUGGGCCGAGGAAUGGCUAUAUAUACCACCACAUGGGUCACUGCUGUAUCUACUACUGCCAUUUAUUGUGUUUAGCUUUUUAGCACCACAACUUGUGGCCACAGUGCCUGGAUGGGAGACCAGUGGGAACCCUUUGAAAACUGCUUUGAGUUCAGUCAUGGAAGAAAAAGGCAGAAAACACAUGAAAUAAACAAAUAACUUUCAAUCUUGUGCUGUUGUUCCAAGCACUACUUUUAUGCUGCUGCAUUAAAGUUAUCCUUAUAUGUA
Molecule: long non-coding RNA, 354 nt
Organism: Hemicordylus capensis (graceful crag lizard)
Lineage: Eukaryota; Metazoa; Chordata; Lepidosauria; Squamata; Cordylidae
Exons: 2
Source: RefSeq, a predicted model, not a curated record